GAUGAACGCUGGCGGCGUGCCUAAUACAUGCAAGUCGAGCGAACAGACGAGGAGCUUGCUCCUCUGACGUUAGCGGCGGACGGGUGAGUAACACGUGGAUAACCUACCUAUAAGACUGGGAUAACUUCGGGAAACCGGAGCUAAUACCGGAUAAUAUAUUGAACCGCAUGGUUCAAUAGUGAAAGACGGUUUUGCUGUAACUUAUAGAGGGUUCCGCGCCGCAUUAGCUAGUUGGUAAGGUAAAGGCCUACCAAGGCCACGAUGCGUAGCCGAACUGUGAGGGGGGUAGGCCACCCGUGAAGUGGAACACCGUCCUGGAUCCUGAGGGACGGCCCAGUAGGGGACUCUACGCAAUAGGGGGAAAUCUUGCCGAAUGACCGCGAGCGUGAUGAAGCAGCUCUGCGUUCGGGAAAACGGCGUUUUAGGGAAGAACAAAUGUGUAAGUAACUAUGCACGUCUUGACGGUACCUAAUCAGAAAGCCACGGCUAACUACGUG
This 497-nucleotide ribosomal RNA is filed under the name uncultured bacterium. Its description in RNAcentral is "partial 16S ribosomal RNA". It matches the Rfam family "Bacterial small subunit ribosomal RNA", at positions 28 to 507 of the family's 1533-position model. The record is from RNAcentral.